This 733-nucleotide ribosomal RNA is filed under the name uncultured bacterium. Its description in RNAcentral is "bacterial SSU rRNA". It matches the Rfam family "Bacterial small subunit ribosomal RNA", at positions 94 to 826 of the family's 1533-position model. The record is from RNAcentral.
ACCGGCGCACGGGUGAGUAACACGUAUCCAACCUGCCGCUUACUCGGGGAUAGCCUUUCGAAAGAAAGAUUAAUACCCGAUGGUAUAAAGAGUUCGCAUGUUCUCUUUAUUAAAGAAUUUCGGUAAGCGAUGGGGAUGCGUUCCAUUAGAUAGUUGGCGGGGUAACGGCCCACCAAGUCUACGAUGGAUAGGGGUUCUGAGAGGAAGGUCCCCCACAUUGGAACUGAGACACGGUCCAAACUCCUACGGGAGGCAGCAGUGAGGAAUAUUGGUCAAUGGACGAGAGUCUGAACCAGCCAAGUAGCGUGAAGGAUGACUGCCCUAUGGGUUGUAAACUUCUUUUAUAAGGGAAUAAAGUGAGGGACGUGUCCCUUUUUGUAUGUACCUUAUGAAUAAGGAUCGGCUAACUCCGUGCCAGCAGCCGCGGUAAUACGGAGGAUCCAAGCGUUAUCCGGAUUUAUUGGGUUUAAAGGGAGCGUAGGUUGACAUAUAAGUCAGCUGUGAAAGUUUACGGCUCAACCGUGAAAUUGCAGUUGAUACUGUAUGUCUUGAGUGUACAAGAGGUGGGCGGAAUUCGUGGUGUAGCGGUGAAAUGCUUAGAUAUCACGAAGAACUCCAAUUGCGAAGGCAGCUCACUGGGGUACAACUGACACUGAGGCUCGAAAGUGUGGGUAUCAAACAGGAUUAGAUACCCUGGUAGUCCACACAGUAAACGAUGAAUACUCGCUGUUUG